This 466-nucleotide ribosomal RNA is filed under the name uncultured bacterium. RNAcentral's name for it is "bacterial SSU rRNA". It matches the Rfam family "Bacterial small subunit ribosomal RNA", at positions 28 to 524 of the family's 1533-position model. The record is from RNAcentral.
GACGAACGCUGGCGGUGUGCUUCACACAUGCAAGUCGAACGAAGUCUUCGGACUUAGUGGCGCACGGGUGCGUAACGCGUGGGAAUCUGCCCUUGGGUGCGGAAUAACUUCUCGAAAGGGAUGCUAAUACCGCAUAAUGUCGUAAGACCAAAGAUUUAUCGCCCAAGGAUGAGCCCGCGUAAGAUUAGCUAGUUGGUGGGGUAAAAAGCCUACCAAGGCGACGAUCUUUAGCUGGUCUGAGAGGAUGAUCAGCCACACUGGGACUGAGACACGGCCCAGACUCCUACGGGAGGCAGCAGUAAGGAAUAUUGCGCAAUGGACGAAAGUCUGACGCAGCGACGCCGCGUGGGGGAUGAAGGUCUUCGGAUUGUAAACCCCUUUCGGGAGGGAAGAUGGAGUGGGUAACCACUUGGACGGUACCUCCAGAAGCAGCCACGGCUAACUUCGUGCCAGCAGCCGCGGUAAU